ACAGGGGGUAGAAGGUGAGUUGGUAAGGCAUAUGGCUACCAACCUGAAGGCUGUGGGUUUGAUUCCCGCCCUUUGCA
This is a non-coding RNA of Massospora cicadina, 77 nucleotides long. NCBI's taxonomy places the organism in Eukaryota, Fungi, Entomophthoromycota, Entomophthoromycetes, Entomophthorales, Entomophthoraceae. The record is from the annotation of a GenBank genome assembly.